RNAcentral lists this ribosomal RNA (497 nucleotides) under uncultured bacterium. RNAcentral's name for it is "partial 16S ribosomal RNA". It matches the Rfam family "Bacterial small subunit ribosomal RNA", at positions 28 to 507 of the family's 1533-position model. The record is from RNAcentral.
GAUGAACGCUAGCGGCGUGCCUAAUACAUGCAAGUCGAGCGAACAGACGAGGAGCUUGCUCCUCUGACGUUAGCGGCGGACGGGUGAGUAACACGUGGAUAACCUACCUAUAAGACUGGGAUAACUUCGGGAAACCGGAGCUAAUACCGGAUAAUAUAUUGAACCGCAUGGUUCAAUAGUGAAAGACGGUUUUGCUGUCACUUAUAGAUGGAUCCGCGCCGCAUUAGCUAGUUGGUAAGGUAACGGCUUACCAAGGCGACGAUGCGUAGCCGACCUGAGAGGGUGAUCGGCCACACUGGAACUGAGACACGGUCCAGACUCCUACGGGAGGCAGCAGUAGGGAAUCUUCCGCAAUGGGCGAAAGCCUGACGGAGCAACGCCGCGUGAGUGAUGAAGGUCUUCGGAUCGUAAAACUCUGUUAUUAGGGAAGAACAAAGGUGUAAGUAACUAUGCACGUCUUGACGGUACCUAAUCAGAAAGCCACGGCUAACUACGUG